CCGCGGCGAACUCACUCUUUCUGCGCGCCCUGCGGCCCUGAGGAGUGGGGUGGGGCCGCACCGCAGCGACCGCGCCCCGCCCGGGGGGAGGACAUGGCGCCUGGGGUGCCCAGCCCGCGUUUGCGGUAGCCCCGCUCCUCGGUGGGGCUCCUAUGAGGGCGAGGGGCGCCCCAGCCCCCUGGGCAGCGUCUGGCGUGUGCGCGGCGCCGCGGGUGCUCCGGUGGCGGGAACUGCCGGUAGCUGCGUGGCGUGUGAGCUGUUCCGUGCGUGCCUGGGCCUCCGGCAUGGGUGCGGCAGCUUGGGCCGCAGGCUCUAAUCCCGCUGCGCCGGGGCGGCCGUGCGGGCUCUCCGGCAGCAGCACACCGCGGGUUUGUUUCCCGGGGGCGUCAGGAGAGGCCGAACCACCCCACCUGGACUUGCUGCCGGCUUGAAGCAGCUUCUCGCUCCAAGCACACGCUCGUCUGAACAGUAGACUGCUAUGACAUCAGAUGAGCUUCUCCGCUGUCUUGAGCCUUGUGUAUACGUAUAUAGCCAACAGAAGACUCCAUCCACUUCUGGAAGUAUGCGCAUUUAAGAAGCUUGAAAACAGCAGCCUGAAAUGCGGAGUUCUGAUGCACCUGGAAAUGUUUUCAUGGCCCUUCUGGCUCCUCAGAAAUACUGCUUGGUUCAACAGUAAGCCAGAGGAGUAGCUGUUUAGUGAAACCAUGUGAAAUAAUCCUCAAAUGAAGCUCAGGUGAGAGUGUCACUCUAGAAAGGGAAGUGGCCUUGUGGACACUCUUAAAUAUUCAUACUAGUUCUAAGUGUACCAAAUAAAUUGAUCAAAAUUGAAUAAAUCAAGGAUUAAAACAUAGGAAAACUUACAUGUUAUCAUGUCUAAAUGAGAGUGUUUACAAUGUUAGUGGUGGCAGCUUUUCUGCUUAUCUUCAAGGCAGUGUGUGUAUGAAUAAAAUCUUGGAUUCCUGUUUUCA
Molecule: long non-coding RNA, 968 nt
Organism: Grus americana (Whooping crane)
Lineage: Eukaryota; Metazoa; Chordata; Aves; Gruiformes; Gruidae
Exons: 3
Source: RefSeq, a predicted model, not a curated record